RNAcentral lists this small nucleolar RNA (66 nucleotides) under Chinchilla lanigera (long-tailed chinchilla). RNAcentral describes it as "Small nucleolar RNA SNORD58 (ENSCLAG00000020709.1)". It matches the Rfam family "Small nucleolar RNA SNORD58". From Rfam's summary of the family: snoRNA U58 is found in introns 1, 3 and 6 of the ribosomal protein RPL17 gene in humans. U58 is a member of the C/D class of snoRNA which contain C (UGAUGA) and D (CUGA) box motifs. The record is from Rfam by way of RNAcentral. Lineage: Eukaryota; Metazoa; Chordata; Mammalia; Rodentia; Chinchillidae.
CUACGUUGAUGGAGUUUCUUAGGACACCUUUGGAUUAAAAAUGAAAACAAUUACUUUCUGGGCAUC